UAAUCAUGGACUUCAUUAUUUAAAUGGGAAAAAUAUAGAAUCUUACAAUUAACUGUUCUUUUUGUCAUAAGAUUAUAGUGUGUGUAUGUGUAUGUACACAUACAUUCAUCUUAGCACAGCCAAAUUCUCUCCUACAGUAUCCUUGGAUAAUUACAUUUUAUGAAUCCUUGAUAUUACUUGGCAGAACAGAAAUUCUUAAUAUUUCCUGAUAAUUUUAAUAAAUACUAGAUUUUUAUAUUCACUGCCAUACUAAAGAUUUUGUUAAUAUAAUUCCUUUCAAAAUAUCUCUAAAAAUCUGUUUAGAAAGUGAAAUAUGGUCUCCUUUAAAUAUAUUAAUGUGUAAACUUUAUUUCCCUCAAGAGAUCAAUUGCAAUUAGAUAACAUUGUCUUAUCCAGUGUCACCCUUGACAGCACAGUGUAGGCUGAGAAACAAGUGUUCAGUUAUUAACUUAACCUUUGCAGGUAACUUUAGGCAUAAUGUUAUAUUUUGGAGCCAGAUAAAAAGUGGCUGAUUUAACAUCUAUUUGAUUUGAUUGCUUACAAUUCAGGCAUUAUGAGAUCUUGGAAAACAGCAUUAAUUUACAUGGUAAUAAGGGUCACCUACCAAAGCUUUGAUUAUAGCUUGAAGUAGCCAUCUCCAUGCUGCAGUUAGGUUCUGGGCAGAGGAGACACAAAUAGAUCCAGAAUGCAUAUAUUCUCAGACCUCUAGAGAUGUACAAUAAAUAUAACUUUCACUGACUUGAACAUAAAAUCAGUUUUCCAAUUUGGCCUUUAUACUCUGCUUAAUGAUUGGCACAAAAUGUUCUAUAUCAAACAUUAAUAAUAUUUAAUACUUGUUAUAGACUGAAUUGUGUCUCCCCCUCCUCAAAUUUUUAUGUUGAACCCUUAACCCUCAUUUUGACUGCAUUUGGUGAUAGGGUCUUUGAAUAAGUGAUUAAGGUUAAAUGAGGUCAGAAGGGUUAGAACAUAAUCCAAUAUGGUCAGUAUCCUUAUAAAGGAGAAGAGGUGCCAGGGAUGUGAACACACACAGAAAACGCCAUGUGAGGACAUGAAAAGAAGAAGGUGAUAUCCCUUUAUCAUUUUUUAUUGUAUCUAUUUGAUUCUUCUGUCUUUUCUUCUUUAUUAGUCUGGCUAGCUGUCUAUUUUGUUAAUCUUUUCAAAAAAACAGCUCCUAGAUUCAUUGAUUUUUUGAAGGGUUUUUCAUUAUUUCUAUCUCCUUCAUUUCUGCUGUGAUCUUAGUUAUUUUUUGUCUUCUGCUGGCUUUUGAAUUUGUUUGCUCUUGCUUCUCUAGUUCUUUUAAUUGUGAUGUUAGGGUGUCGAUUUUAGAUCUUUCCUGCUUUCUCCUGUGGAAAUUUAGUGCUAUAAAUUUCCCUCUAAACACUGCCUUAGCUAUAUCCCAGAGAUUCUGGUAUGUUGUGUCUUUGUUCUCAUUGGUUUCUAAGAACUUAUUUAUUUCUGCCUUAAUUUCGUUAUUUACCCAGUAGUCAUUCAGAGGCAGAUUGUUCAGUUUCCAGGUAGUUGUGCAGUUUUGAGUGAUUUUCUUAAUCCUGAGUUCUAGUAUGAUUGCACUGUGGUCUGAGAGACUGCUUGUUAUAAUUUCCAUUAUUUUGCAUUUGCCGAGGAGUGUUUUACUUUCAAUUAUGUCGUCAAUUAUAUAUAGAAUAAGUGUGAUGUGGUGCUGAGAAGAAUAUAUGUUCUG
RNAcentral lists this long non-coding RNA (1699 nucleotides) under Macaca fascicularis (crab-eating macaque). Its description in RNAcentral is "lncRNA (ENSMFAG00000051049.1)". The record is from RNAcentral. Lineage: Eukaryota; Metazoa; Chordata; Mammalia; Primates; Cercopithecidae.